CCUACGGGAGGCAGCAGUGAGGAAUAUUGGUCAAUGGACGAGAGUCUGAACCAGCCAAGUAGCGUGAAGGAUGACUGCCCUAUGGGUUGUAAACUUCUUUUAUAUGGGAAUAAAAUGUUCCACGUGUGGGAUUUUGUAUGUACCAUAUGAAUAAGGAUCGGCUAACUCCGUGCCAGCAGCCGCGGUAAUACGGAGGAGCCGAGCGUUAUCCGGAGUUAUUGGGGUUAAAGGGAGCGUAGGUGGCUUGUUAAGUCCGUUGUGAAAGUUUGCGGCUCAACCGUAAAAUUGCAGUUGAAACUGGCAGUCUCGAGUACAGUAGCGGUGGGCGGAAUUCGUGUUGUAGCGGUGACAUGCUUCGAUAUCACGCAGAACUCCGAUUGCGAAGGCAGCUCACUGGACUGCACCUGACACUGAGGCUCGAAAGUGUGGGUAUCAAACAGGAUUAGAUACCCGAGUAGUC
This 460-nucleotide ribosomal RNA is filed under the name uncultured bacterium. RNAcentral's name for it is "partial 16S ribosomal RNA". It matches the Rfam family "Bacterial small subunit ribosomal RNA", at positions 338 to 795 of the family's 1533-position model. The record is from RNAcentral.